UAUAGCCUGUGAUGUUCGCGUACUCAGAUAAUUCAACCGACAUAUCAGACUAGGGAGUCUGCGUUUAGCAAGGGAUAACAAGCCUCCUUUGAGUGGACGUUUGAACUUGCUAACAGGACACCCCCCUUGAAAAAGGCGGGUGUGAAUUAAAUGAGCAAGCGGCAUCGUGGGUUCAAA
RNAcentral lists this non-coding RNA (177 nucleotides) under Tissierellia bacterium. RNAcentral describes it as "6S RNA". It matches the Rfam family "6S / SsrS RNA". From Rfam's summary of the family: E. coli 6S RNA was the first non coding RNA to be sequenced, but its function was unknown until recently. It consists of 184 nucleotides that fold into an extended hairpin structure with a large single-stranded internal bulge. The record is from RNAcentral. Lineage: Bacteria; Bacillati; Bacillota; Tissierellia.